Molecule: ribosomal RNA, 326 nt
Filed under: uncultured bacterium
Lineage: Bacteria
Description: bacterial SSU rRNA
Rfam family: Bacterial small subunit ribosomal RNA
Source: RNAcentral
GACGAACGCUGGCGGCGUGCCUAACACAUGCAAGUCAACUUGAGGGAAGGAGCAAUCUGACCUGAUGGUGGCGCAAGGGUGCGUAACGCGUAAGUAACUUGCCCCAAGGUAAGGAAUAACGUCGAGAAAUCGGCGCUAAUACCUCAAUAAUGACAGCGGAUCCGCAUGGAUAUGUUGUUAAAGGUUUACCGCCUUGGGAUAGGCUUGCGUCUGAUUAGCUAGUUGGUGUGGUAAUGGGCACACCAAGGCUACGAUCAGUAACUGGUCUGAGAGGAUGAAUCAGUCACACUGGAACUGAGACACGGUCCAGACUCCUACGGGAGGCA